Neopsephotus bourkii (Bourke's parrot) is the source of this 856-nucleotide long non-coding RNA. RefSeq lists it as uncharacterized. The record is from RefSeq and is a predicted model, not a curated record. The transcript is spliced from 2 exons. NCBI's taxonomy places the organism in Eukaryota, Metazoa, Chordata, Aves, Psittaciformes, Psittacidae.
CAGCUCUUGGAGGGUUGCUCCAGGCAGGGCUUCAGAGAGCCAGUGCUGACCAGCAUGCAAGAACUGAGUGGUCCACAUGGUAAACAGGGCACACAACAGGCUCAUGAGGAUUUUGGUGUUUAAGGUGAAUGCAGCUGUGUGAACAAGGUGAUUCUUCCUGCUUUCCCUUGCUCCAAGCUUCUGUGCAGAACAUGUUAUGGGGGUGCCAGGAGUAUCCCUCCCUUGUGGGCAGCUCUGGCUCCAUGCAGAGAAAUAAUCAGUCCCUCUUUUUUUAAGACAUCUGGCAUGCACUGAGCAGGAAAAAUAUGGCAAGCUGGAAUUUCUUUCAUAGGGAGAAGCAGACCACGCUAUUUGGGCCAAAUCUAAAGUUUCUCCCUUACAAUUUUUGCAUAUGAAUGGGAAUUCAGGCUUGGUCCCCAGCGGGCCCAUCAUUAUAUGUAUUAACAGGCAGCUGGGCUUUAGAAAAAAGGGGAAAGCAGAAAGAAAAUAGAUGUUUAUUCUGUGCUUAGGCAAAUUCGCAGGAGACGAAUCAUCUCCCAUUCUCGCCAGACAAACACUUUGCUCUCUAUAGGCUCUGAAUGCAUUCACUCAUCAAGGCAUAUUGGGUAACUGCUUAUUAGCACAAGUUCAGCUCCCUUUGUGCAUCCCUCAGCUACACGCUCAAAUUUAAGCCCUCACUAUGGCAGGCCUGGUGAGAUUAUUUUCCUUUCCCUUUCUUGAAGGAAGCACAGGAUUACACUGCUAGAGCUUUAACUUUGAUUUGAUAACGAGUCUUUGUAUAUAUAUGUGUAUAUAUCAGAAUAUCUGUAUAUAAAAUAUUUAUAUCUGUAUAUACAGAUAUAUAUGUGUAUUUUAA